UACGGAGGAUCCGAGCGUUAUCCGGAUUUAUUGGGUUUAAAGGGUGCUCAGGCGGGGGAUUAAGUCGGCGGUGAAAUUUUGCAGCUCAACUGUAAAAGUGCCUUCGAAACUGGUUUCCUUGAGUGUAGAUGAAGUAGGCGGAAUUUGUGGUGUAGCGGUGAAAUGCAUAGAUAUCACGAGGAACUCCGAUUGCGCAGGCAGCUUACUAAACUACUACUGACGCUCAGGCACGAAGGCGUGGGGAUCAAACAGGAUUAGAUACCCGGGUAGUCCCU
RNAcentral lists this ribosomal RNA (275 nucleotides) under uncultured prokaryote. RNAcentral describes it as "partial 16S ribosomal RNA". It matches the Rfam family "Bacterial small subunit ribosomal RNA", at positions 524 to 798 of the family's 1533-position model. The record is from RNAcentral.